Molecule: ribosomal RNA, 544 nt
Filed under: uncultured eukaryote
Lineage: Eukaryota
Description: SSU rRNA
Rfam family: Eukaryotic small subunit ribosomal RNA
Source: RNAcentral
AUGCUUGUCUCAAAGAUUAAGCCAUGCAUGUCUAAGUAUAAGCAAUAUAUACCGUGAAACUGCGAAUGGCUCAUUAAAUCAGUUAUCGUUUAUUUGAUAGUACCUUACUACUUGGAUAACCGUGGUAAUUCUAGAGCUAAUACAUGCUAAAAACCCCGACUUCGGAAGGGGUGUAUUUAUUAGAUAAAAAACCAAUGCCCUUCGGGGCUCACUGGUGAUUCAUAAUAACUUAACGAAUCGCAUGGCCUUGUGCCGGCGAUGGUUCAUUCAAAUUUCUGCCCUAUCAACUUUCGAUGGUAUGGUCUUGGCUUACCAUGGUUUCAACGGAUAACGGGGAAUUAGGGUUCUAUUCCGGAGAGGGAGCCUGAGAAACGGCUACCACAUCCAAGGAAGGCAGCAGGCGCGCAAAUUACCCAAUCCUGAUACAGGGAGGUAGUGACAAUAAAUACUGAUACAGGGCUCUUUUGGGUCUUGUAAUUGGAAUGAGUACAAUUUAAAUCCCUUAACGAGGAACAACUGGGGGGCGAGUCUGGUGCCAGCAGCC